GUUCUUUAAUCUUUUUUGCUCUCUCCAAUCUCAAAAUAAGAGUCAUAAUAAAAUAAAAAAACGGAAAAAAGAAGAAGAAGAAUAAGAAUAAGAAGAGGUAGAUUCGAUCUCUUGACCCUCAAUCCUCUGCAGAUUUCUUGGAUACAGGAAGGCGGACUUAGUGAGAGAUUGAGCCACAAAUCUUCGUCACAAACAGAAGCUUGCAUCUUUCUUCUCUUAGUCACAGAUUCAUACAACAUUUCAU
RNAcentral lists this unclassified non-coding RNA (244 nucleotides) under Hevea brasiliensis (rubber tree). The record is from RNAcentral. Lineage: Eukaryota; Viridiplantae; Streptophyta; Magnoliopsida; Malpighiales; Euphorbiaceae.